This 262-nucleotide long non-coding RNA is filed under the name Homo sapiens (human). RNAcentral describes it as "non-protein coding lnc-CFHR5-6:1". Lineage: Eukaryota; Metazoa; Chordata; Mammalia; Primates; Hominidae. The record is from RNAcentral.
AUGGCAAAACAUCUGAAGUUCAUCACCAGGACUGUGAUGGUAUAGGAAGGGAACGUGGAAGGUGCAUAGAGGACCCUAAACAGAAUCCUCACUACGGAUGGGCUCACUGAGGACAUUAAGCUUCGGCGGUAUUAUGAGAAGCCAUGCGGCCGGCGACAGAGGGAAAGCUAUGAAAAGUGCCGGCGGAUCUACAGUAUGGAAAUGGCUCACAAGAUCAACUUCUUGAUGCGAAAGAAUCAGGCAGAUCCGUGGCGGGGCUGCU